UGAGUAACCUGCCCUUAACUCUGGGAUAAGCCUGGGAAACUGGGUCUAAUACCGGAUAUGACUCCUCAUCGCAUGGUGGGGGGUGGAAAGCUUUAUUGUGGUUUUGGAUGGACUCGCGGCCUAUCAGCUUGUUGGUGGGGUAACGGCCUACCAAGGCGACGACGGGUAGCCGGCCUGAGAGGGUGACCGGCCACACUGGGACUGAGACACGGCCCAGACUCCUACGGGAGGCAG
This 234-nucleotide ribosomal RNA is filed under the name uncultured bacterium. RNAcentral describes it as "partial 16S ribosomal RNA". It matches the Rfam family "Bacterial small subunit ribosomal RNA", at positions 118 to 351 of the family's 1533-position model. The record is from RNAcentral.